RNAcentral lists this ribosomal RNA (492 nucleotides) under uncultured bacterium. RNAcentral's name for it is "partial 16S ribosomal RNA". It matches the Rfam family "Bacterial small subunit ribosomal RNA", at positions 29 to 507 of the family's 1533-position model. The record is from RNAcentral.
AGUGAACGCUGGCGGUAGGCCUAACACAUGCAAGUCGAACGGCAGCACAGUAAGAGCUUGCUCUUACGGGUGGCGAGUGGCGGACGGGUGAGGAAUACAUCGGAAUCUACUUUUUCGUGGGGGAUAACGUAGGGAAACUUACGCUAAUACCGCAUACGUCCUACGGGUGAAAGCAGGGGAUCUUCGGACCUUGCGCGAUUGAAUGAGCCGAUGUCGGAUUAGCUAGUUGGCGGGGUAAAGGCCCACCAAGGCGACGAUCCGUAGCUGGUCUGAGAGGAUGAUCAGCCACACUGGAACUGAGACACGGUCCAGACUCCUACGGGAGGCAGCAGUGGGGAAUAUUGGGCAAUGGGCGCAAGCCUGAUCCAGCCAUGCCGCGUGGGUGAAGAAGGCCUUCGGGUUGUAAAGCCCUUUUGUUGGGAAAGAAAAGCAGCAGGUUAAUACCCCGCUGUUCUGACGGUACCCAAAGAAUAAGCACCGGCUAACUUCGUG